GAGUUUGAUCCUGGCUCAGGAUGAACGCUGGCGGUGUGCCUAACACAUGCAAGUCGUACGGUUUUUCCCGCAUGAAGCUUCGGCUGAUUGUGGGUAAAGAUAGUGGCGGACUGGUGAGUAACACAUGGGUAACCUGCCCCUCGGAUCGGGAUAACAGUCCGAAAGGACUGCUAAUACCGGCUACUUUCAUUCGAUCGCAUGGUUGGAUGAAGAAAGAUGGCCUCUGCUUGCAAGCUAUCACCGAGGGUGGGGCCUGUGGCUCAUUAGCUAGUUGGUAGGGUAACGGCCUACCAAGGCAACGAUGGGUAGCUGGUUUGAGAGGACGACCAGCCACAUUGGGACUGAGAUACGGCCCAGACUCCUACGGGAGGCAGCUGUGAGGAAUUUUCCGCAAUGGGCGAAAGCCUGACGGAGCGACACCGCGUGGUUGAUGAAGGUC
RNAcentral lists this ribosomal RNA (439 nucleotides) under uncultured bacterium. Its description in RNAcentral is "bacterial SSU rRNA". It matches the Rfam family "Bacterial small subunit ribosomal RNA", at positions 9 to 416 of the family's 1533-position model. The record is from RNAcentral.